RNAcentral lists this ribosomal RNA (253 nucleotides) under uncultured bacterium. RNAcentral describes it as "partial 16S ribosomal RNA". It matches the Rfam family "Bacterial small subunit ribosomal RNA", at positions 524 to 776 of the family's 1533-position model. The record is from RNAcentral.
UACGAAGGGGGCUAGCGUUGCUCGGAAUCACUGGGCGUAAAGCGUGCGUAGACGGUUAUGUAAGUCAGGUGUGAAAGCCCCGGGCUCAACCUGGGAAUUGCAUUUGAGACUGCAUAGCUAGGGUGCGGAAGAGGGAAGCGGAAUUUCCGGUGUAGCGGUGAAAUGCGUAGAUAUCGGAAGGAACAUCAGUGGCGAAAGCGGCUUCCUGGUCCAGCACCGACGUUCAGGCACGAAAGCGUGGGGAGCAAACAGG